Molecule: long non-coding RNA, 1795 nt
Filed under: Felis catus (domestic cat)
Lineage: Eukaryota; Metazoa; Chordata; Mammalia; Carnivora; Felidae
Description: lncRNA (ENSFCAG00000044368.2)
Source: RNAcentral
GUCAGGGUUGGGCAGCAGCCAAAGCUGCCACCAGUCUCCCUUCCCCAGCUGCCGGCGGACUCUGGACAGGGAGCCGGCAGCCCCAGGAAGCCUUCGUGGUGGAGACCCAGAGCCAGACACCGGCCCUCACAUCACCUCCCCUCCUGCUCGGCUGCCCUCAUUCUUUGGAUCCCUAGGCUGACACUCCCGCCGGCCCUUCAUCUUCCCUUACUGAUCCCAGAACGAGGGACGGAGCGAGCACCUCCACGCUACAAAUCCAGCCCCGUGUCCUGCAGAUGCAGCGGUCCUGGCUGCAGGUUUGGGGGAGUCCAGCGGGGAGGCCCCCGGGGCCAGCAGAGCCUCCCAGAGACGCCGCCCCCCCCCCCCACUGGCCGGUGCCAGCACGUAGCCCGAGCCCCGCUUGUCCAGACCCGGGGCUCCUCACACCGCCUUCUCAGGGGCAGACGCACACCGCCCACGUCCCGUGGGGGUGACUCGGGCUGUACUUGGGCCCGGGCUCCGAGCCCAGCAUCGCCCCACCCCCCCCCCCCGAGAAGAGAAGGGAGGCUCUUGGCCUCCAGAGCCCUGCCGCAAACCCCGGACCCGAGCCCGGCUUCCCAUCUACGAAGCGGAGGAAGGAACGCCCGCCUGGCGAGACCGUUGGCAACACUGGGUGCCAUAUUCACGCGACGCGUUCAGCAGAGUCUGGAAAAUACUAAAACGGAAAAAGACAACCACGAGCCUCCCGUCCAUGUCACACACCCUGCCCCCCGAACACACAGAGCCCGGGAUCCCACCAGAGGGGCAAGCUGGUAGUUCCACAUGCCGUCCUCAGAGGCGUCACCGACAAAACCACUAGCCUUCUCCGUGUCAAGCCCCGGGUGGACCCUCGGACAAGCACAUCCUGACCGGGGACAGCCCAGAAAUGGCAACUCAGAAAUGACCGGACUCAGAAAUGACGGCCCCCCCGCGGAGCCUCAGGGACCCAACACCUAUCCCAGCCUUGGCACCUGCUCGGCACCCACGCCCCCUCCUGCCCCACCAGGCUCCUCCCCUGCCCUUCACUUUGCUUAUCUUCGCACCAGAAGAUGAGAGCAAAGGCACACCCAAUCUCAUCAGGCUUUCCCAAUUACUUUUGCCUGAAGCCCCAUGAGUAGGAGGAGCGCCCACCAAGCCGUAAGGACGAUCGAGAGGAAAGAAAACAAGGGGAACCUACACUUUGGGUGGUUCCCAGAAAUACGACAUGGAAGAGGUCUGACCCCCGGGAAGGCUAGAGACUGGACAGGAGACACCAGUACUGCCUUAUGAACUCAUCACGUUGGAACUCCCUGCAUUUCCUUCAAGCACUCACUCACCUGGGCCCUGCCUGGGCGAGGGGUGCCCGCAGCCCAAGACCCCCAGAAGCCCCACCAAGCAGGACAGCUCCACCCACCGCUCUCACGGGCAUCUCUGACUCAACCUGCUCGAAUCCAGACUCUUUAUCUCCCUCCCCACACUCACCCCUCACCGCCAUCCGCCACCUCGGUCAACGGUACCACUAUCCGCCCACAGUCACUCAGAGAGCCGGGGCUCACCCUGGAUCCUCCCCCUGCCGUGUUUUCCAAACUUAUUAGUCACCGAGUCCAGUUCACGCGUAAAAUUUCCCUCUCCUCUCCUGUCCCCUUCACCUGGGUUCAGGACCUCAUCCUCGCUCACCUGGACUUCUGCAAAAGCCCUUCUUAUUCUCUCUUCCCCAGUCUCUCAUUCCACCACUGCAGGGAAGGGCUUCCGAAAUGAACCAAACAAGUCCUUGUCCUGCUUCAACAGCUUCCACUGG